CAUUAAAUCAGUUAUGGUUCCUUUGGUCU
Molecule: non-coding RNA, 29 nt
Filed under: Homo sapiens (human)
Lineage: Eukaryota; Metazoa; Chordata; Mammalia; Primates; Hominidae
Also listed under: 1 other name
Source: RNAcentral